Molecule: ribosomal RNA, 535 nt
Filed under: Trichoderma viride
Lineage: Eukaryota; Fungi; Ascomycota; Sordariomycetes; Hypocreales; Hypocreaceae
Description: eukaryotic LSU rRNA
Rfam family: 5.8S ribosomal RNA (bases 161-314)
Source: RNAcentral
GUGUCGGACGUUACCAAACUGUUGCCUCGGCGGGGUCACGCCCCGGGUGCGUCGCAGCCCCGGAACCAGGCGCCCGCCGGAGGAACCAACCAAACUCUUUCUGUAGUCCCCUCGCGGACGUAUUUCUUACAGCUCUGAGCAAAAAUUCAAAAUGAAUCAAAACUUUCAACAACGGAUCUCUUGGUUCUGGCAUCGAUGAAGAACGCAGCGAAAUGCGAUAAGUAAUGUGAAUUGCAGAAUUCAGUGAAUCAUCGAAUCUUUGAACGCACAUUGCGCCCGCCAGUAUUCUGGCGGGCAUGCCUGUCCGAGCGUCAUUUCAACCCUCGAACCCCUCCGGGGGAUCGGCGUUGGGGAUCGGGACCCCUCACACGGGUGCCGGCCCCGAAAUACAGUGGCGGUCUCGCCGCAGCCUCUCCUGCGCAGUAGUUUGCACAACUCGCACCGGGAGCGCGGCGCGUCCACGUCCGUAAAACACCCAACUUUCUGAAAUGUUGACCUCGGAUCAGGUAGGAAUACCCGCUGAACUUAAGCAUAC